Molecule: non-coding RNA, 1153 nt
Organism: Oncorhynchus mykiss (rainbow trout)
Lineage: Eukaryota; Metazoa; Chordata; Actinopteri; Salmoniformes; Salmonidae
Source: RefSeq, a predicted model, not a curated record
AGGACCACACAGUACAGGUUCAGGUUUAGAGUUAGUAACACAGUGACCUGCCUAGGACCACACAGUACAGGUUCAGGUUUAGAGUUAGUAACACAGUGACCUGCCUAGGACCACACAGUACAGGUUCAGGUUUAGGGUUAGUAACACAGUGACCUGCCUAGGACCACACAGUACAGGUUCAGGUUUAGAGUUAGUAACACAGUGACCUGCCUAGGACCACACAGUACAGGUUUAGAGUUAGUAACACAGUGACCUGCCUAGGACCACACAGUACAGGUUCAGGUUUAGAGUUAGUAACACAGUGACCUGCCUAGGACCACACAGUACAGGUUCAGGUUUAGAGUUAGUAACACAGUGACCUGCCUAGGACCACACAGUACAGGUUCAGGUUUAGAGUUAGUAACACAGUGACCUGCCUAGGUCCACACAGUACAGGUUCAGGUUUAGGGUUAGUAACACAGUGACCUGCCUAGGACCACACAGUACAGGUUUAGAGUUAGUAACACAGUGACCUGCCUAGGACCACACAGUACAGGUUCAGGUUUAGAGUUAGUAACACAGUGACCUGCCUAGGACCACACAGUACAGGUUCAGGUUUAGAGUUAGUAACACAGUGACCUGCCUAGGACCACACAGUACAGGUUUAGAGUUAGUAACACAGUGACCUGCCUAGGACCACACAGUACAGGUUCAGGUUUAGAGUUAGUAACACAGUGACCUGCCUAGGACCACACAGUACAGGUUCAGGUUUAGAGUUAGUAACACAGUGACCUGCCUAGGACCACACAGUACAGGUUCAGGUUUAGAGUUAGUAACACAGUGACCUGCCUAGGACCACACAGUACAGGUUCAGGUUUAGAGUUAGUAACACAGUGACCUGCCUAGGACCACACAGUACAGGUUCAGGUUUAGGGUUAGUAACACAGUGACCUGUCUAGGACCACACAGUACAGGUUCAGGUUUAGAGUUAGUAACACAGUGACCUGCCUAGGACCACACAGUACAGGUUCAGGUUUAGAGUUAGUAACACAGUGACCUGCCUAGGACCACACAGUACAGGUUCAGGUUUAGAGUUAGUAACACAGUGACCUGCCUAGGACCACACAGUACAGGUUUAGAGUUAGUAACACAGUGACCUGCCUAGGACCACACA